UGUCAAGUCGGAUGUGAAAUCCCCGGGCUCAACCUGGGAACUGCAUUCGAAACUGGCAGGCUAGAGUCUUGUAGAGGGGGGUAGAAUUCCAGGUGUAGCGGUGAAAUGCGUAGAGAUCUGGAGGAAUACCGGUGGCGAAGGCGGCCCCCUGGACAAAGACUGACGCUCAGGUGCGAAAGCGUGGGGAGCAAACAGGAUUAGAUACCCUGGUAGUCCACGCCGUAAACGAUGUCGAUUUGGAGGUUGUGCCCUUGAGGCGUGGCUUCCGGAGCUAACGCGUUAA
Molecule: ribosomal RNA, 283 nt
Filed under: Escherichia coli
Lineage: Bacteria; Pseudomonadati; Pseudomonadota; Gammaproteobacteria; Enterobacterales; Enterobacteriaceae
Description: partial 16S ribosomal RNA
Rfam family: Bacterial small subunit ribosomal RNA
Source: RNAcentral